This 496-nucleotide ribosomal RNA is filed under the name uncultured bacterium. RNAcentral describes it as "partial 16S ribosomal RNA". It matches the Rfam family "Bacterial small subunit ribosomal RNA", at positions 28 to 506 of the family's 1533-position model. The record is from RNAcentral.
GACGAACGCUGGCGGCGUGCCUAAUACAUGCAAGUAGAACGCUGAAGAGAGGAGCUUACUCUUCUUGGAUGAGUUGCGAACGGGUGAGUAACGCGUAGGUAACCUGCCUUGUAGCGGGGGAUAACUAUUGGAAACGAUAGCUAAUACCGCAUAACAAUGGAUGACACAUGUCAUUUAUUUGAAAGGGGCAAUUGCUCCACUACAAGAUGGACCUGCGUUGUAUUAGCUAGUAGGUGAGGUAAUGGCUCACCUAGGCGACGAUACAUAGCCGACCUGGGAGGGUGAUCGGCCACACUGGGACUGAGACACGGCCCAGACUCCUACGGGAGGCAGCAGUAGGGAAUCUUCGGCAAUGGGGGCAACCCUGACCGAGCAACGCCGCGUGAGUGAAGAAGGUUUUCGGAUCGUAAAGCUCUGUUGUAAGUCAAGAACGGGUGUGAGAGUGGAAAGUUCACACUGUGACGGUAGCUUACCAGAAAGGGACGGCUAACUACGU